Molecule: non-coding RNA, 72 nt
Organism: Dallia pectoralis (Alaska blackfish)
Lineage: Eukaryota; Metazoa; Chordata; Actinopteri; Esociformes; Umbridae
Source: the annotation of a GenBank genome assembly
GCCUGUUUGGUGCAGUGGGUAGUACUUGGCCUAAGAACCAGAGGUUGCUGGUUCGAUUCCCCCCACCAGUUG